CUUUUCCAUGAGAACCAAAAUCCAGCUCCUUGAAACUGAUGCUACCACACACCAAGAUAGGGAAAUAUUAAGGAAUCGUGAGAACUAUCAUAUAGCGGUGGAGGGUGGAGAAAGUAAGAAUCCAAUUGAUCGUCUUGGAGCUUUUUUUGAUGGUUUGUGCAAGUAUGCCCGUUAUAGUAAGUUUGAAGUACGGGGGCUACUAAGAACUGGGGAUUUUAACAAUUCUGCAAAUGUAAUUUGCUCUUUGAGCUUUGACCGGGA
RNAcentral lists this unclassified non-coding RNA (261 nucleotides) under Hevea brasiliensis (rubber tree). The record is from RNAcentral. Lineage: Eukaryota; Viridiplantae; Streptophyta; Magnoliopsida; Malpighiales; Euphorbiaceae.